Molecule: ribosomal RNA, 456 nt
Filed under: Streptococcus mitis
Lineage: Bacteria; Bacillati; Bacillota; Bacilli; Lactobacillales; Streptococcaceae
Description: bacterial SSU rRNA
Rfam family: Bacterial small subunit ribosomal RNA
Source: RNAcentral
GACGAACGCUGGCGGCGUGCCUAAUACAUGCAAGUAGAACGCUGAAGGAGGAGCUUGCUUCUCUGGAUGAGUUGCGAACGGGUGAGUAACGCGUAGGUAACCUGCCUGGUAGCGGGGGAUAACUAUUGGAAACGAUAGCUAAUACCGCAUAAUAGCAGUUAUUGCAUGAUAACUGUUUGAAAGGUGCAAUUGCAUCACUACCAGAUGGACCUGCGUUGUAUUAGCUAGUUGGUGGGGUAACGGCUCACCAAGGCGACGAUACAUAGCCGACCUGAGAGGGUGAUCGGCCACACUGGGACUGAGACACGGCCCAGACUCCUACGGGAGGCAGCAGUAGGGAAUCUUCGGCAAUGGACGGAAGUCUGACCGAGCAACGCCGCGUGAGUGAAGAAGGUUUUCGGAUCGUAAAGCUCUGUUGUAAGAGAAGAACGAGUGUGAGAGUGGAAAGUUCACACU